GACGAACGCUGGCGGCGUGCUUAACACAUGCAAGUCGAACGGAAAGGCCCUGCUUUUGUGGGAUGCUCGAGUGGCGAACGGGUGAGUAACACGUGAGUAACCUGCCCUUGACUUUGGGAUAACUUCAGGAAACUGGGGCUAAUACCGGAUAGGAGCUCCUGCUGCAUGGUGGGGGUUGGAAAGUUUCGGCGGUUGGGGAUGGACUCGCGGCUUAUCUGCUUGUUGGUGGGGUAGUGGCUUACCAAGGCUUUGACGGGUAGCCGGACUGAGAGGGUGACCGGACACAUGGGGACUGAGAUACGGCCCAGACUCCUACGGGAGAGAGCGGUGGGGAAGAUUGCCCAAUGGGCGGAAGCCGGGUGCAGCAACGCGGCGUGCUGGAUGAUGGCCUUCGGGUUGUGAGCCGCUUUCGUCUGUGAUGAAGCGUGGGUGACGGUAAUGUGUAAAGAAGCACCGGCUAACUACGUG
This 468-nucleotide ribosomal RNA is filed under the name uncultured bacterium. Its description in RNAcentral is "partial 16S ribosomal RNA". It matches the Rfam family "Bacterial small subunit ribosomal RNA", at positions 28 to 507 of the family's 1533-position model. The record is from RNAcentral.